UUAUUGAGCGCCUACUGUGUGUCAGAAUUCUCGAUUCUGGGAAUGCAGAAAUGAAUAAGGCCAACAACAUCCCUGCCCUCAGAUGAACAUUCUGGUGAAGGUGACGGUGGAGAACGGCAUAUAAUACGCUAUGAGAAAUUGGCUGUUGUACAGGGCUGUUGGCAAUGGACCACGCUGUGAUGAAUAUCUUUGGCUGUGAGUCAUGGUGCACAUGUGCCCGGCUUUCUCUGCAUGUGUACCUAGAGUUGGAAAUUCUGGGUUCACAUAUCCAGGAUCUUAAAGGAUCUUGGGAAGAAGAGAGCCCAAGACAAAGUGAAGUUGCUACAAGAAAACUGAAGAGGGCUGGAGAGAGAAAAAUAAGGCUGCUCCCCAGUGAACCCCCAGCCCCUCUGUGCUCAGGGACAUUGAGGGAUCUUCAGUUCACUGCCUCGGGAGGACUGGAAUGAGGCAGAGGAGAAGACGCAGAGCUUUAAGGACAGCCACUUCCCAUCAGAACCCCUGCUAGACUGCAGAUCAGAGCAUGGGAAACUCAGCUGUGUGCAUAUGUGGCGUCUCCACAUGCUCACCCCACAGCUCCAGGGGGAUUUGUGGCCAGUGGGUGAGAUAAUACUCUCAGGUAUUAUCAUAUCUCAGGUAUGUGUGAGGAUGUACUUCCUGCCAGCUCAGGAUAGAACUCCAGAUAUUUGUGAAUUUGU
Canis lupus familiaris (dog) is the source of this 695-nucleotide long non-coding RNA. RefSeq lists it as uncharacterized. The record is from RefSeq and is a predicted model, not a curated record. NCBI's taxonomy places the organism in Eukaryota, Metazoa, Chordata, Mammalia, Carnivora, Canidae. The transcript has 3 exons.